GGGCUUGUAGCUCAGUGGAUUAGAGCGCGUUGCUACGAACUACGAAGUCAGGGGUUCGAGUCCCUUCUGGCCCA
This 74-nucleotide transfer RNA is filed under the name Euglenaformis proxima. Its description in RNAcentral is "tRNA-Arg". It matches the Rfam family "tRNA". Rfam says of the family: Transfer RNA (tRNA) molecules are approximately 80 nucleotides in length. Their secondary structure includes four short double-helical elements and three loops (D, anti-codon, and T loops). The record is from RNAcentral. Lineage: Eukaryota; Euglenozoa; Euglenophyceae; Euglenales; Euglenaceae.